Molecule: ribosomal RNA, 460 nt
Filed under: uncultured bacterium
Lineage: Bacteria
Description: partial 16S ribosomal RNA
Rfam family: Bacterial small subunit ribosomal RNA
Source: RNAcentral
CCUACGGGAGGCUGCAGUGAGGAAUAUUGGUCAAUGGGAGGAAUCCUGAACCAGCCAUGCCGCGUGCAGGACGACGGCUCUACGAGUUGUAAACUGCUUUUGUACCGGGGUAAAAUGCCUUACGUGUAGGGUUUUGAAAGUACGGUAUGAAUAAGGAUCGGCUAACUCCGUGCCAGCAGCCGCGGUAAUACGGAGGAUCCGAGCGUUAUCCGGAUUUAUUGGGUUUAAGGGGUGCGUAGGUUGUUUUAUAAGUUAGCGGUGAAAUACCGAUGCUCAACAUCGGGGCUGCCGCUAAUACUGUAGGACUAGAGAUCGGAUGCAGCAGGCGGAAUGUGUAGUGUAGCGGUGAAAUGCAUAGAUAUUACACAGAACACCGAUUGCGAAGGCAGCUUGCUAGGCCGGAUCUGACGCUGAUGCACGAAAGCGUGGGGAUCGAACAGGAUUAGAUACCCGUGUAGUC